GACGAACGCUGGCGGCGUGCUUAACACAUGCAAGUCGAACGGAAAGGCCCUGCUUUUGUGGGGUGCUCGAGUGGCGAACGGGUGAGUAACACGUGAGUAACCUGCCCUUGACUUUGGGAUAACUUCAGGAAACUGGGGCUAAUACCGGAUAGGAGCUCCUGCUGCAUGGUGGGGGUUGGAAAGUUUCGGCGGUUGGGGAUGGACUGCCGGCUUAUCAGAUUGUUGGGUGGGUAGUGGCUUACCAAGGCUUUGACGGGUAGCCGGCCUGCGAGGGUGACAGGGCACAUUGGGACUGAGAUACGGCCCAGACUCCUACGGGAGGCAGCAGUGGGGAAUAUUGCACAGCGGGCGGAAGCCUGGUGCAGCAACGCCGCGUGCGGGAUGAGGGCCUGCUGGUUGUAAACCGCUUUCGCCUGUGACGAAGCGUGAGUGACGGUAAUGGGUAAAGAAGCACCGGCUAACUACGUG
Molecule: ribosomal RNA, 468 nt
Filed under: uncultured bacterium
Lineage: Bacteria
Description: partial 16S ribosomal RNA
Rfam family: Bacterial small subunit ribosomal RNA
Source: RNAcentral